RNAcentral lists this ribosomal RNA (468 nucleotides) under uncultured bacterium. Its description in RNAcentral is "partial 16S ribosomal RNA". It matches the Rfam family "Bacterial small subunit ribosomal RNA", at positions 28 to 507 of the family's 1533-position model. The record is from RNAcentral.
GACGAACGCUGGCUGCGUGCUUAACACAUGCAAGUCGAACGGAAAGGCCCUGCUUUUGUGGGGUGCUCGCGUGGCGAACGGGUGAGUAACACGUGAGUAUCCUGUCCUCGAUUUUGGGAUAACUCCAGGCAACUGGUGCUAUUAACGGAUAGGUGCUAUUGCUGCCCGGUGGUGGUUGGAAAGUUCCGGCGGUUGGGGUUGGACUUGCGUCUUAUCCGCUUGUUGUUGGGGUAGUGCCUUACCAAGGCCUUGACGGGUAGCCGGCCUGCGAGGGUGACCGGCCACAUUGGGACUGAGAUACGGCCCGGACUCCUACGGGAGGCAGCAGUGAGGAAUAUUGCACCAUGGGCGGAGGCCUGAUGCAGCAACCCCGCGUGCGUGAUGACGGCCUUCGGGUUGUAAACCGCUUUCGCCGGAGACGAAGCGUGAGUGGCGGUAAUGGGUAAAGAAGCACCGGCUAACUACGUG